GAGGACGCACGCGGCCAGCCGGGAGGCGCGCGCUUUCCCCUCCCCCGCGGCCCGGAGCGCGAGCCGCCGUGACGUCAGGGGCCGCCCGCCUGCCCCGCGCUCCAGCGGGCAGAGCGCGUGCGGCCGCCGAGCACAUGGGCCCGCGGCCCGGGCGGACUCGGGGCGGCGGGGCCCGGGGGAACGGCGAGGGGCCGCGAGCGAGGAUGAGUCCCGGCACGCCCCCGCCCCGGACCCCCUCGAGUGGAUUUCCACGCGGAAAGGAUGUUGGCGGUCCCGGUGACCUGCGGAGACACGGUUGGAGCCACCUUUCAAAUCUUGUUACACCUGGGAUUUUGGUGCCUUUAAUCUGAGAAAAAGUACACAUCCAUUCAGUAAUCCAAAAGGACUUGAAACUCUUCUUCUCUGAACUAAAGCUAGAGUAUCGUGGGAUUUAAAGAAUCAAGGUAAGAAAUUUUUCUCCUCCCGAGCCUUUUGGAACCAAUGAUGGCCACUGGAAUUGGUGAUCUCUUGCAACACAACUUGGGGUGUCGUUUCUGACCACGUACUGUAAGCCCACCCUGGUACACAAAACCCAGUUCUCAGGGUUUGUUCACCUGGACCUAUUGCCUGGGGGCAAUCCCUCUGUCCCCAGCUGGGAAAGGGGUUCACAGUCUCCUGGUGGAUACCCCACACUUUUCCUUCUGGCGAAAGGUGAAGAAGCUCAGGCCACCCUGCUGAGGUGUAUGGAGCCGGCACCAGGGAGAGACUGGAUACGUUUGGUGGGGUUAUGUGAUCAGGUCAGCAGAUCUUCGUGGGUAUCCAGAUGUAAUCUCUUCCUCUCUCCCUGCCUUCUUGAAUUGCCUGUGCCAGCUUCCAAGUCUCAGGCUGCCUGUGGGGCGAGGGUAAGAGGUUAAAACUGAUGCCUUCAGGCAAACCUCGUUUUCCUGGUUUUGCUCCUCACCUCACUCAGCCUCCCCAAGCCUUGAUUUCCUCAUUUAUAAAAUCAGCAUCCUAUUAGUGCCCCGGGAGGAUGUAGGUGCUGAGUGAUUUGGGGAGAUAA
RNAcentral lists this long non-coding RNA (1039 nucleotides) under Bos indicus x Bos taurus (hybrid cattle). RNAcentral's name for it is "lncRNA (ENSBIXG00000016748.1)". The stretch from base 127 to 311 matches the Rfam family "Pvt1 oncogene conserved region 1". Lineage: Eukaryota; Metazoa; Chordata; Mammalia; Artiodactyla; Bovidae. The record is from RNAcentral.